GCGAGCGUGCUGGAAUCGGCAGACAGGCAUGUUUGAGGGGCAUGUGUACGCAUGUACGUAUGGGUUCAAGUCCCAUCGCUCGCACCA
Molecule: transfer RNA, 87 nt
Filed under: Peptostreptococcaceae bacterium
Lineage: Bacteria; Bacillati; Bacillota; Clostridia; Peptostreptococcales; Peptostreptococcaceae
Description: tRNA-Leu
Rfam family: tRNA
About the family: Transfer RNA (tRNA) molecules are approximately 80 nucleotides in length. Their secondary structure includes four short double-helical elements and three loops (D, anti-codon, and T loops).
Source: RNAcentral